AUGUCGACGACCUCCUCCUCCGCGGCGGCCGUCGCCGAGGGCUCUGCCGCCCGCCGCUUCUGGAUCGCCGCCUCCUCGCGGGAGGCCGCCUUCGCCACGUACACGCCCUUCCUCCUCUCCCUCGCCGCGGGGUCACUCCGCCUCGACUCCUUCCGCCACUACCUCGCGCAGGACGCCCACUUCCUCCACGCCUUCGCACGCGCCUACGAGAUGGCCGAGGAGUGCGCCGACGACGACGAUGACAAGGCCACCAUCUCCGCCCUUCGGAAAGCCAUCGUCCGCGAGCUCAACCUCCACUCUUCCGUACUCCAGGAGUGGGGAGUUGAUCCUACCAAAGAGAUCCCUCCAAGCCCAGCAACAACCAAGUACACUGAUUUCUUACUUGCAACUGCAGCUGGAAAAGUUGAUGGUGGGAAAGGUUCUGAUAAAAUGGCCACACCAUUCGAGAAGACAAAAAUUGCUGCGUACACUGUUGGGGCGAUGACUCCGUGCAUGAGGCUUUAUGCAUAUCUUGGCAAAGAACUCGGCGUUUUCCUGAAACAAGAUGAAAAUCACCCAUACAAGAAAUGGUUCGAUACGUAUGCAGCCACUGACUUUGAGAGUAAUGCACUCCAAAUAGAAGAGUUGCUUGAUAAACUAAGUGUCUCUUUAACUGGUGAGGAGCUCGAGAUUAUUGGGAAGCUCUACCAACAAGCUAUGAGACUGGAGGUUGAGUUUUUCUCUGCUCAGACCCUCGAAGAACCUGUUGUAGCUCCACUUUCAAGAUAUCGUGAUCCCAAAGACAAGCUCGUGAUCUUUUCUGAUUUUGAUUUGACAUGCACUGUUGUUGAUUCGUCUGCCAUUUUGGCGGAGAUUGCGAUUUUGUCACACCAAAAGGCUAGUCAGAGUGGGUCUGAUAAUGUCCUUGACCGUACAAAAUCAGCAGACCUGAGAAAUUCGUGGAAUAUGCUAUCUAAUCAGUACAUGGAAGAGCAUGAGCAAUGCAUACAAAAGUUACUUCCUCCAGAAGAAGCAAAGUCAGUAGACUACGAUCAACUAUACAAAGGUCUUGAAGUGCUAUCAGAAUUUGAGAGACAGGCAAAUUCUAGGGUUAUUGAUUCCGGUGUCUUGAGGGGAAUGAACUUAGAUGAUAUCAGAAAAGCCGGGGAGCGGCUUAUUCUGCAAGAUGGUUGUCGAAAUUUCUUUAAGAAGAUUGGAGAGACAAGGGAGAAGGUCAAUUUAGAUAUCCAUAUUCUUUCCUACUGCUGGUGUGCAGAGCUUAUUAGGUCAGCCUUUUCAUCAGUUGGUUGUCUUGAUGGAGUAAACAUACAUUCCAACGAGUUUACCUUUGAGGGAUCUGUUUCAACUGGUCACAUCAACAGAAAGAUAGAGUCUCCACUAGACAAAGUUGAGAAGUUCAAAAUCAUCAAAAGUGACCUGGAUAGUAUAACACCAUCGUUGUCUGUUUAUAUCGGGGACUCAGUUGGAGAUUUGCUUUGCUUGUUGGAAGCAGAUGUUGGCAUUGUUGUUGGAUCAAGCACAACCUUGCGGAGAGUGGGCAAACAGUUUGGUGUUUCUUUUGCUCCAUUGCUUCCUGGUUUGGUAGAGAAGCAAAGGCGGCUCUGGAAGCAAGAAGCAUCCAUUUUCAAGGCGCGAUCUGGAGUUCUUCAUACGGUUUCUAGCUGGUCAGAGAGCCUGGCAUGGAUAAGAGGGAUGAACACUGGAGCAAGACCAAGCAUGGAGAUGAUGGCAUGCGCAAGGAGAACAAGAACGGAGUUACAAGUGAUGAUUUCAGGACUUUGA
Molecule: ribosomal RNA, 1782 nt
Filed under: Triticum aestivum (bread wheat)
Lineage: Eukaryota; Viridiplantae; Streptophyta; Magnoliopsida; Poales; Poaceae
Description: partial small subunit ribosomal RNA
Source: RNAcentral